ACAUCUAGAAGAGUCCAGAAGCCACGGGAACGAACGGGAGACCGGACGGGCCCGGGGGUAGGGCGCCCGCCUCCCCCCUUGGGUGCCCGCCCUUGUCUGAGGGCCAAUCAGAACCAAUCUCGCGGAUUAUGCUCCACCGACCUAAAGGAUCAAGGAAAACCGUGCGAUUAAUGUUGGUUUGAUCCGACGGCCCACAUUCAUCUAGAAGGACUAUAUAAGCAGACCCCCUGGUCCCUGGAGGAGAGCACCUCUAAACUCUAGUAAUUCAUUAUCCAUCUCGGGAGAAGAAGCCUCUGAUCAAGCCCUAGA
RNAcentral lists this long non-coding RNA (309 nucleotides) under Sorghum bicolor (sorghum). RNAcentral's name for it is "long non-coding RNA (SBIC_LNC002825)". The record is from RNAcentral. Lineage: Eukaryota; Viridiplantae; Streptophyta; Magnoliopsida; Poales; Poaceae.